UUACGUGGGACGUAAAGCGCAUGCAGGCGGCCUAGUUAAGUCAGAUGUAGAAACGGCCCGGGGACUUAACCGUACGGUAAGUUGCUAUUUAGUAAACGUGGCGAGGCUAGAGUCUUGUAGAGGGGGGUAGGAAUUUCAGGUGUAGCGGUGAAAUGCGUAGAGAUCUGAAGGAAUACCAGUGGCGAAGGCGGCCCCCUGGACAAAGACUGACGCUCAGAUGCGAAAGCGUGGGGAGCAAACAGGAUUAGAUACCCUGGUAG
This 260-nucleotide ribosomal RNA is filed under the name uncultured bacterium. RNAcentral's name for it is "partial 16S ribosomal RNA". It matches the Rfam family "Bacterial small subunit ribosomal RNA", at positions 556 to 793 of the family's 1533-position model. The record is from RNAcentral.